UGGGGGAUAUUGCACAAUGGGCGAAAGCCUGAUGCAGCGACGCCGCGUGGGGGAUGAAGGCUUUCGGGUUGUAUACCUCUUUCGCUAUCGAACAAGGCCCGCUUAGGGUGGGUUGAGGGUAGGUGGAGAAGAAGCGCCGGCUAACUACGUGCCAGCAGCCGCGGUAAUACGUAGGGCGCGAGCGUUGUCCGGAAUUAUUGGGCGUAAAGGGCUUGUAGGCGGCUUGUUGCGCCUGCUGUGAAAACGCGGGGCUUAACUUCGCGCGUGCAGUGGGUACGGGCAGGCUUGAGUGUGGUAGGGGUGACUGGAAUUCCAGGUGUAGCGGUGGAAUGCGCAGAUAUCUGGAGGAACACCGAUGGCGAAGGCAGGUCACUGGGCCAUUACUGACGCUGAGGAGCGAAAGCAUGGGUAGCGAACAGG
Molecule: ribosomal RNA, 420 nt
Filed under: bacterium
Lineage: Bacteria
Description: partial 16S ribosomal RNA
Rfam family: Bacterial small subunit ribosomal RNA
Source: RNAcentral